UGGGGAAUUUUGGACAAUGGGCGAAAGCCUGAUCCAGCAAUGCCGCGUGUGUGAAGAAGGCCUUCGGGUUGUAAAGCACUUUUGUCCGGAAAGAAAUCCUUGGCUCUAAUACAGUCGGGGGAUGACGGUACCGGAAGAAUAAGCACCGGCUAACCACGUGCCAGCAGCCGCGGUAAUACGUAGGGUGCAAGCGUUAAUCGGAAUUACUGGGCGUAAAGCGUGCGCAGGCGGUUUGCUAAGACCGAUGUGAAAUCCCCGGGCUCAACCUGGGAACUGCAUUGGUGACUGGCAGGCUAGAGUAUGGCAGAGGGGGGUAGAAUUCCACGUGUAGCAGUGAAAUGCGUAGAGAUGUGGAGGAAUACCGAUGGCGAAGGCAGCCCCCUGGGCCAAUACUGACGCUCAUGCACGAAAGCGUGGGGAGCAAACAGGAUUAGAUACCCUGGUAGUCCACGCCCUAAACGAUGUCAACUAGUUGUUGGGGAUUCAUUUCCUUAGUAACGUAGCUAACGCGUGAAGUUGACCGCCUGGGGAGUACGGUCGCAAGAUUAAAACUUAAAGGAAUUGACGGGGUCAUAGCUGUUUCCU
This 585-nucleotide ribosomal RNA is filed under the name uncultured bacterium. Its description in RNAcentral is "partial 16S ribosomal RNA". It matches the Rfam family "Bacterial small subunit ribosomal RNA", at positions 355 to 1375 of the family's 1533-position model. The record is from RNAcentral.